Molecule: long non-coding RNA, 305 nt
Organism: Maniola jurtina (meadow brown)
Lineage: Eukaryota; Metazoa; Arthropoda; Insecta; Lepidoptera; Nymphalidae
Exons: 4
Source: RefSeq, a predicted model, not a curated record
UAAACACGACACUACAAAAGGGUGGUAGCUGUCAAAAUCACCACGUGAUCGUUACACCAGGGAAUGAGUCGGAAAAUGAGCGCUCACGGAUAAUUGGCGUCCGGAAUGAAUUUGUGAUUCCGUAACGCGAUAUUUUGAUGAGCUGCCCUGACGUUGACGUUGUUACGGAAUAUUUGAUCAGGCCUUCUUGUGUGUUAUGUAUUCUAUGCCCAUGUUAAUUAAAUAUACAUACCUAGCUUUCCUGAUAUUAUUAGAUUACGAAAAUAUGACUAUCUAAAUGUAUUGUUCACUAGUUGACCAUAAGU